Acanthosepion pharaonis is the source of this 111-nucleotide non-coding RNA. The record is from the annotation of a GenBank genome assembly. Lineage: Eukaryota; Metazoa; Mollusca; Cephalopoda; Sepiida; Sepiidae.
CGGCCACAUCACGUUGAAACACAGAUUUCCACACAGUCACCGAAGUUAAGCAAUGUUCAGCCUGAUCAGUACUUAGCUGGGUGACCACCUGAAAAGACCAGGUACUGUAAG